This 253-nucleotide ribosomal RNA is filed under the name uncultured bacterium. RNAcentral describes it as "partial 16S ribosomal RNA". It matches the Rfam family "Bacterial small subunit ribosomal RNA", at positions 524 to 776 of the family's 1533-position model. The record is from RNAcentral.
UACGUAUGGUGCAAGCGUUAUCCGGAUUUACUGGGCGUAAAGGGAGCGCAGGCGGCGCGCCAAGUCUGAUGUGAAACCCCGGGGCUCAACCCCGGGCAUGCAUUGGAAACUGGCGGGCUGGAGUGUCGGAGAGGUAAGCGGAAUUCCUAGUGUAGCGGUGAAAUGCGUAGAUAUUAGGAGGAACACCAGUGGCGAAGGCGGCUUACUGGACGGCAACUGACGCUGAGGCUCGAAAGCGUGGGGAGCAAACAGG